RNAcentral lists this unclassified non-coding RNA (7094 nucleotides) under Agrilus planipennis (emerald ash borer). Its description in RNAcentral is "metabotropic glutamate receptor, transcript variant X6". The record is from RNAcentral. Lineage: Eukaryota; Metazoa; Arthropoda; Insecta; Coleoptera; Buprestidae.
AUUUGAAUAGUAAAAGGAUUAUAGUAGGUUUUGCUUUGCUAUUUACGUAUCUAUUAAGUCAAGUAACAUUAAAUAAGGUGCACAUGAAUGAAGGAAAUGACUGCUUUAGUAUAUAAAGUCGGAAGUUGAUAUAUCUGCGGUAGGAAAUGGAGAAAUGGGUUGAGAAGAGCAACAUUUACGAGAAAAUAUCUCAAAUUCUCAAAUGGGUAGACCUUUAUCGACUUAAGAAUGAUUUAGGGAAAGCGACAUAAUAAAAACGAUCAUUUCCAUCAAAACGAACGAAACCGUUAGUUUAAUCUAAACGAAUCUUCCUUCGCGAAAAAUGUAGUGUAAAGUAGUGUUUGUACGCGCGGUAAAAGUGCGGGAUUCGCGAGUGAAAACGUGAUGAAAACCUUCUUUUAAUAUGGAAUUGAGGCACCGAUUUUUGGAUGUGGGAGUCAAAAUCGGGCGGAGUAUCCACAUCGCUGAAAGCUUUAAAGAUGAAUUUGCGGUUGUAAAUUUUUAUCCGGGAGGCCAGUGGAGUUGAUUUCGUCCUGAUUGACAGAGGUCCAUGUAACGUGGAUCUACCGACGGGGUAAUGGUGCUCUUCGAAGCCUUUAUUACCCUGCUGUUAGUAACCAACACUGCUAAGACAGAGCAGAUGGCAGUGUUGGUAUCCGGACAGAUAGUUUUGGGAGGCUUAAUUCCCAUCCACGAAAAGGGCGAAUCGUCACCAUGUGGGGACAAAAUUUACAACCGCGGUGUCCAAAGGUUGGAAGCGAUGUUAUUCGCUAUUGAUAUGAUAAAUGCGGAUCCCGAUCUACUACCAGGAAUAAUAAUCGGGGUCCACAUUUUGGAUACUUGCUCUAGAGAAACGUACGCUUUAAACCAAACCCUACAAUUUAUAAGGGCUUCCUUAAACGCCAUUGACUCUUCAAUCUUAGAAUGCGGCGAUCAUUCUUUGCCUCGGUUUAAGUUUAACUUUACCGGCCCUGUCUUUGGCGUAAUUGGUGGUUCCUACAGUACAGUAUCGUUACAAGUGGCCAAUUUACUUGGUUUAUUUCACAUUCCUCAAAUAUCACCCGCAUCUACUGCCAAAGCUCUGAGCGAUAAGUCUCGAUUUGAAUAUUUCGCUCGGACUGUACCACCUGAUACCUUUCAAUCAAUCGCCCUUGUCGAUAUUGUCACAAGCAUGGGUUGGUCUUACGUCUCAACCGUUUACUCCGAAGGAUCUUAUGGAGAGCAUGGGAUAGAGGUAUUCCAUAAAGAAGCCCAGGAAAGAGACGUUUGCAUUGCCGUGUCCGAAAAAGUACCACGAACUGCUGACGACAAACAAUUCGAUAACAUCAUUAACAAAUUAAGAAAGAAAAGCAACGCCAAAGCCGUAAUUCUAUUCACCAGGGCUGAAGAUGCAAGAGGGAUAAUGCAAGCCGUUAAACGUUUGAACGCAUCCAAUGAGUUCUACUGGGUUGCAAGCGACGGAUGGGGUAAACAGAAGAAGAUAGUCGAAGGGGUUGAAGAUCUCGCUGAGGGAGCCAUCACUGUGGAAUUGUCGUCGUCUAAUGUACCUGGUUUUGAUGAAUACAUGCAAAGCUUGACACCGGAAAAUAACAAGAGGAACCCCUGGUUCGAGCAGUACUGGGAAGAUACAUUCGGAUGCGUUCUGCCAAAAAAUGUCCCUCUCGUAACAGAUAAGCCAUUCAACGUCUGCCCACCAGACUUGAAAUUAUCCGAAAAAGUUGGAUACGAACAAGACAGCAAGGUACAGUUUGUGGUUGAUGCCGUCUACGCUUUUGCCUAUGCAUUAAAUAACCUUUACCGAGAUGUUUGCUUGAAAAAGAAGAGAUUCGGCGUUUGCCCUGAAAUGAAGCAGUACGAUACUGGGGACUUUUACAAAAAAUAUCUCCUCAACGUCUCCUUCAUAGAUCUUGCCGGAAAUCCCGUUCAAUUCGACGAAAGAGGUGAUGGACUUGCUCGCUAUGACAUCUUGAAUUUCCAAAAAACUGACAACGGUUUAGGCUAUCAUUACAAACUUGUCGGUAAAUGGUUCAACAAACUCGAAUUAAAUCACAGCGAAAUAAUUUGGAAGAACAAUGUCAGUGAUAUACCGAUCUCAGCCUGCUCUCUACCAUGUGGACCUGGAAUGAUCAAGAAGCAACAGGGCGAUACUUGCUGCUGGAUAUGCGAUAAAUGCGAAGAUUUCGAAUACGUUUUCGACGAAUUCACCUGCAAAGAUUGCGGCAACGGAUCCUGGCCGUAUCCUGACAAGAAAUCGUGCUACCCGCUGGAAAUUCAGUACUUGAACUGGUCGUCACCUUUUGCCCUGAUCCCUCUCGCAUUCUCCGUCCUCGGAAUUAUUGCAACCCUCUCAGUUAUAUGCCUAUUUAUAAAACACAAUGACACGCCAUUAGUCCGCGCUUCUGGAAGAGAGCUCAGCUACAUGCUCCUAGUUGGCAUUCUGCUUUGCUACAUGAAUACGUUUGUUCUCUUGGCUAAACCAACCACAGGCAUAUGCAUUGGACAAAGAUUUGGCAUUGGUGUCAGUUUCUCCAUCAUUUACGGCGCGUUGCUCACAAAAACAAACAGGAUUUCAAGAAUCUUCGAUUCGGCCUCCAGAUCGGCCAAACGUCCCAAGUACAUCAGUCCAAGAUCCCAAGUUUGCAUCACUUCCGGCCUCAUUGCUAUUCAGAUUAUACUCACCUUGGUAUGGAUGGCCCUCGAAUACCCCGGUACCAAAUUCUACUAUCCCAGCCGCAAACAGAUCAUAUUGAAAUGCAAGAUUCAGGACAUGUCCUUUUUGUUUUCUCAACUUUACAACAUGCUUCUUAUUACCAUAUGCACCGUCUAUGCAGUCAAGACUAGAAAAAUUCCGGAAAAUUUCAACGAAUCAAAAUUCAUAGGAUUCACGAUGUACACCACCUGCGUUAUUUGGCUUGCUUUCGUCCCGAUCUACUUUGGAACAGGAAAUUCAUAUGAGAUCCAGAUAACAACCCUCUGCAUAGCGAUUAGCAUGAAUGCAACAGUGGCUUUGGUUUGCCUCUAUUCUCCAAAACUUUACAUUAUUCUCUUCCACCCCGACAAGAAUGUGAGAAAAUUAACAAUGAAUACUGCAACUUACAAAAGGAGUCAUUCAACUCCAGGCUCUAGUCACACUCCAUCAUCAGCUGCUAACAAAGUUUGGAUAAUAUCAAAUUUAAAUCAAACUUACACCGCAACUACUGCAGCCACCGAAAAAUAGACACAUACUAUAUGCAUACACAAUGACAGACAUUCAGAAUGAUACUAAAAUGGGAACGAAAAAAAAAAUUGAAUUGAUACUGAACCGGAAAACAUUAAAUAGACAAACAUAAAACACCUACUAAGACAGUCUUACAAUAAAUAUUGUACCUAAAAAUCAACAGAUACAUUGAAAGAAGAAAUCGACAACUAUUGUACUUAAACUUCUUUCGAAGGAAUACUUACCUGCACUUUCUGAGGGUUUGGACGUUCUGGGAUAGACGAAGAUUCCAAUGGGUUCUUCUUGCCCCAGUUAUGCUCCCCCAAAUUUACAAAUAUGCUAAUUUUAGCGAAUUCAUGUAUCAAUCAGUUAAACCUUACCCUACUCAUCGAUCCCUCAGCUUCCAAUUAAAAUCACCUUAUAAUUGAAUAAUAUCACCAAACAAUUUUUUUUUCGCGAUUUUUCUGAAAAUAACCGGUUGCUACGCGAUUUCAUUAAUUUUCGCAUAUUAGCCAAGCUAAUUUUAAUUCAACAUCAAUAUAGUUCUAAAUGUGGUUAUCAGUGUUCUUACAUAUUAACGUAAAAGGUCUGCAUUGACCUAAUAAAGCAAAAUACGCUUUUCUUUGUACAAAAUACUCAAAUCACAUCUCCAUAAACAAUUCAAUAUUCUUUUCGUUUUUGUUUUUAUAUAUGUUUUUUAUUUUUGUCAUCAUUAAUUUAAUUUAAGGUUCUUCUAAUUUUUAACUUAUGAAAGGAAUCAUAGCAGACGUUUUUGAAAACGAAUGAUACGAAAGAAAUAUGAUUACCGGUAAAUAAUUAUUAAUAAAAACUUAUUCAAAUUGAAGAUUUGAACGUAUAAUUAUUCCCUCCAUUCCAGUAUGUCAAACGUUUUUGCGUAUUUUGAUCAGUCUAGAUGUUUACGUGUUGGCGGUGGGGGUAUUAUUGCUUUAUUCCGCGAAUUUAAUGCUUUAAUCGUAACAAUCAAAUAUUUUUGGCUUCGUUAUUGAUUAAAUUCAGUAAUUUAUAACAGUAAACGUUUUGGAAAACGUAUGGUUUAGAAAAUAUAACAAUCGGCAAGAUUCAAAAUCAGUCAAAUCAAAUAAUUUACAAUGUGUCAAAAGAGAUUGCGGUUUCCGCUUUCCGGUCAGUAGUGCGGUUGGCGUGGUCGUGGUCGCGUUGUUCUCGGUUUGUUCAUGUGUUAGAGAGAUUUUUAAAAGCUAAUAAAAAAAUAAAACAAAAGAAAUACCAUUUUUUACGUUCAAGAUCUUCAAGUCUUGCAGUUGAUGUUCGUGGUCAGUUAGCUAUUAUUUAAUUUACUAUCAAAAUGGGUUCCUCAAAGUGCCGAUCGGAGAAUAACGUACCUAAAACGUAUUGUUUUGUUUUCGAUUGUUUUUAUUUGUGAAUAAAGCUGUAAUCGUGAUAAUAAUGAAAGUGAUAGUUAUGUGUGUACGGGUCAAUUUUAAUUAAACAAUGAAUGUAGAUACGCUUUUCAUACGGUGAACGUUGAAUUCUAACCUAAAAACAUCAAAUCACAUUGGGAAUGUUUGUGAUAUCAAGGAAAACUUAUUGUUCAUGGUAAGCAAUUUUUUACACUCCAAGUUUAAUUUGUGGAAAUUAUGUAACUAAUUCUCGCUUUAAAUAUUGCGGUACGUGCUUGCGUUGUAAUAUUAACCGUUAUAAUAUGGAAAAGGUUAUUUGAAAAUUAAGAUAUGGGUAACAACCAACAUUUAUAAAUUUGUAAAACAGUGGAGUAAUAACAGUUCCGUGGGGAUUUGAAUGUAGAUAAUUAGAUAUUGUCUUAAAGUCGAAAUUGGCUUUAUUGAAAAUAUUUCCCCCAAGAUCUCCGUUUUUAUUAAUAACAUAUUGGAAUGUUGCAAUAUAACAAGCUUUUGAAAAGCAGUAAAAAAGGCGAACGUGUAUUAUUAAGCGUUCAAUACUUAAUUUUACACAAUUGUCGUACCUGUUAGGUACACACUUUCUUUUUUUUUCCCUAUAAUUUUAGUAUCUCUUUAGUUAAAUCAGCACAUUCAUAAAAAAUUUUGAAACAUCUUUUCGAAUAUCCGUGUCUCUAAAUGGAAGUCAAUUGUUACUGUUUGGUGUUAUUACAAUUUGUCGACGUAUAAUACAUACUCCAACAAUGUUAAAUGUUUCUUAAAAUACUAAAAAUUAAUACAACAAAGCGUAGCAGUUUCUAAAAUAAUUAAACAAUAGUACUUGUCUUUCCAAUUUUUUUAAUAGUCGUUAUUGCAGCUGUUACACGUAAUAUAAACGUCGUAUGUUUUUAGAUUGGAAGUCAUAAAAUCGAAUGACUAAUAAUUUAAUUAAUUUUUAAUAACUUUUUCGACUUGCGAAAAAGAAUUAAUUUUUACCGUAGUAUUUAUUGUUUGUGAUUCAUGGCAGAAAUAACUAUAGGAACACAACAGUGUUAUUUAAUGUUUUAGUCCGUCUACUUAUGCAAUGUACCUACUUACGUGAUAUAAAUGUUGCCUAACUUUCAAAUCGGUGUUAUAAAUGGAAUUUAUUGUUAAUGGCUAUUAUUCAACUACAUUUACCUUGAUAAUAUCUGAAACUUGAUAAUUCUCAACCUCUUAACGUUUAAGUAAUAAUUCUCGUUUAUUUCCCUCUUUUUUUUUAAUACACAUAGUAACGAUAUAUCGGAUCAAAAACGUAAACGUGCUUGUUGUAUUUAACUAUAUUAAAAACAUUCCUGUUCAUCCUGUGAUUGAUGUUAUAAGAUAUCCAAACUGUCGUUCAAAACUUUCUCCUAAAAUAAAGAUUAUGUCUGUUGUGAAAAUUAUGGGUUGCUAGUUUUGUCUAUUUAUAUUCUUUAAAAUUGGAAAAUAAGAAACACUUUCAAUUGAAAUAUUGUUUAUACACAGUAUAAUAGAACAAAAAAUACAAAAUACUAUUCAUUAAUGUUCAUUUAUUUUACAUAGAACAACAGUUUCCACUGUUGGUUUUUGUCCCUUGAAAAUAGUGUUACUGUGUUUUAAAUAUAAUUCUAGUUGUUUUUCCCAAUUUUAAGCAAUGUAAAAGAUAACAUUCUGUAUCCCAAGAUGAAACAUAUCAAAAAUAUGCGUCUAAAGCGUAUUUACUUCACCUAAGUACCUAAAAUAUUUGUAUUAAAAUAAGCUAUACAUACUCGUUUUAGUCAUUCAUGUAUGCAGUUGUUUAUUUUUAACAUCUUAUAAAAAUAAUCGAUGUUAUUCCACAUUAUACAUAAAUAAAAAGCGCAUUAUGAUUUGCACAAUUUUUAUUAAAUAAGUUUAUGUUGUUUCGCCACACUGUCGCUUCUUCUCAGAAGUUGCAAUGGAAACGUUACAGUUAAGCUCACUUAAUAAAUGUUGUGAAUCUCAUACUGUGCUUCGUAUUUAUGUAUUUUAUAAAUGUUUCUUUGUAAUGUUAAGAAUACUACUGUUGCUUGCGUGUUACAGAAUUUAAAUUAUAUGAUAAAAGUUAAAUAAAAUAUAUGUGUCAGGCAAUAUUUUUUAAAUACCUAAACUGUACCACCACCAUCAUUCUCAAAGCACCGAAUUUAAACAAUACAUUGAAAUGUUUUUUCAUCAUUUAUUAGAAAAGGAAAAGCAUUUAAAUUUCUUGUACUACUUUAAGUACAAAAACUAAAUAGCCUUGUUUAUUUGAAUACAAGAAGUCACAAAAAUAUGUAGUUUCAUUAAAAACUAUCAACCAACACAAGGAUAACAAUAUUUGAACAGAAUAGUUAUGUAUAUGGAACAAGGUGAUAAAUAAAAACACUUAUAACAUAUUAAUGGGAAAAAAAUUAAAUUCAAUCAACAGACAGAUGAAAAUGUUUGAGCAAUAAUAAGGCAUCCCAAUCGAUCGACAAUUAAUCGAUUUUUUUCACACCUCGAGCUCUCCAUGCUUUUAUCAAGCUCCA